CGGACGGGUGAGUAACACGUGGAUAACCUACCUAUAAGACUGGGAUAACUUCGGGAAACCGGAGCUAAUACCGGAUAAUAUAUUGAACCGCAUGGUUCAAUAGUGAAAGACGGUUUUGCUGUCACUUAUAGAUGGAUCCGCGCCGCAUUAGCUAGUUGGUAAGGUAACAGCUUACCAAGGCAACGAUGCGUAGCCGACCUGAGAGGGUAAUCGGCCACAUUGGGACUGAGACACGGCCCAG
RNAcentral lists this ribosomal RNA (241 nucleotides) under uncultured Staphylococcus sp. Its description in RNAcentral is "partial 16S ribosomal RNA". It matches the Rfam family "Bacterial small subunit ribosomal RNA", at positions 99 to 334 of the family's 1533-position model. The record is from RNAcentral. Lineage: Bacteria; Bacillati; Bacillota; Bacilli; Caryophanales; Staphylococcaceae.